This 314-nucleotide long non-coding RNA is filed under the name Medicago truncatula (barrel medic). RNAcentral's name for it is "lncRNA gene10464". Lineage: Eukaryota; Viridiplantae; Streptophyta; Magnoliopsida; Fabales; Fabaceae. The record is from RNAcentral.
GGCUUAUUUCAUUUUUAUCUGCUUAUUUCAUUCAUACAUUGUUACUAAAUUCAAAAAAGUUGUCUUGGCACCAAACUACGAAAACAUAUUUGAGAUCAAUCAUCCCAGUCAAAAAAUCUUGGAGCAUAAUCGUGCAAAUUUUAUAAACCGUGACACAACCUUUUUCAUUGGAUAUGGUUGUGCUGCAUAUGAAUCCCCAUGUAAACAAUAGAAAACAUGUUUUAUGCGGAUAAUUGAUUCUAUUUAUCGGUGCAUCAUAUCCACUUGGGCUUUAUUUGCGAGUUUGGAGGAGGAGAAGAGAGGGAGAGUUUAGA